UCUUCAUCAAUUGCUAGCAGUAUAGGGCCUAAGAUCACAGCUGAACAUUUGAUUCCUCGUAAGAGUUAGAAGGCAGAAAUAUAUAUUAGCCAGGUCAUAUGUCGCAGAGGAUUAAGUUCCAUUAAAUCUUUCAUUAUCUUCACGGAAGUACCUUUUUCCUCCCUUGCAAGGCUAAGAUGAAUCAUUUCCAGCACAGUGAUAUAAGGUAUGAAUUCACUUCAGCCAUCCAUGCUCAGGUACAUGAAACUACAAGAAGAGCUAAAUGAUUCAAACACCAGCUUCUAUACUGUAUGGAAUCUAGUCUCCAAGGAAUCAUCAUAUCCCCUGUGGCUCCUCUUGCAGCUCUACAAAUACUGCAAGAUCAGGCAACCUGUGCUCACAACACUCAUCCCGACAGUGCAGAGCUGUGAAGGAUCCAUGCUUCUGUCACAGAUGGUGGACAGCAAUGGGACGUAUGGCU
Molecule: long non-coding RNA, 460 nt
Organism: Mauremys mutica (yellowpond turtle)
Lineage: Eukaryota; Metazoa; Chordata; Testudines; Geoemydidae
Exons: 3
Source: RefSeq, a predicted model, not a curated record